UUGUAUCAGAAGUGCGAAUGCUGACAUGAGUAACGACAAUGGGUGUGAAAAACACCCACGCCGAAAGACCAAGGGUUCCUGCGCAACGUUAAUCGACGCAGGGUUAGUCGGUUCCUAAGGCGAGGCUGAAAAGCGUAGUCGAUGGGAAACAGCUUAAUAUUCCUGUACUUCUGGUUACUGCGAUGGAGGGACGGAGAAGGCUAGGCCAGCUUGGCGUUGGUUGUCCAAGUUUAAGGUGGUAGGCUGAAAUCUUAGGUAAAUCCGGGGUUUCAAGGCCGAGAGCUGAUGACGAGUCGUCUUUUAGAUGACGAAGUGGUUGAUGCCAUGCUUCCAAGAAAAGCUUCUAAGCUUCAGGUAACCAGGAACCGUACCCCAAACCGACACAGGUGGUCGGGUAGAGAAUACCAAGGCGCUUGAGAGAACUCGGGUGAAGGAACUAGGCAAAAUGGCACCGUAACUUCGGGAGAAGGUGCGCCGGCUAGGGUGAAGGAUUUACUCCGUAAGCUCUGGCUGGUCGAAGAUACCAGGCCGCUGCGACUGUUUAUUAAAAACACAGCACUCUGCAAACACGAAAGUGGACGUAUAGGGUGUGACGCCUGCCCGGUGCCGGAAGGUUAAUUGAUGGGGUUAGCGCAAGCGAAGCUCUUGAUCGAAGCCCCGGUAAACGGCGGCCGUAACAAUAACGGUCCUAAGGUAGCGAAAUUCCUUGUCGGGUAAGUUCCGACCUGCACGAAUGGCGUAACGAUGGCGGCGCUGUCUCCACCCGAGACUCAGUGAAAUUGAAAUCGCUGUGAAGAUGCAGUGUAUCCGCGGCUAGACGGAAAGACCCCGUGAACCUUUACUGUAGCUUUGCACUGGACUUUGAGCCUGCUUGUGUAGGAUAGGUGGGAGGCUUUGAAGCGUGGACGCCAGUUCGCGUGGAGCCAUCCUUGAAAUACCACCCUGGCAUGCUUGAGGUUCUAACUCUGGUCCGUAAUCCGGAUCGAGGACAGUGUAUGGUGGGCAGUUUGACUGGGGCGGUCUCCUCCUAAAGAGUAACGGAGGAGUACGAAGGUGCGCUCAGACCGGUCGGAAAUCGGUCGCAGAGUAUAAAGGCAAAAGCGCGCUUGACUGCGAGACAGACACGUCGAGCAGGUACGAAAGUAGGUCUUAGUGAUCCGGUGGUUCUGUAUGGAAGGGCCAUCGCUCAACGGAUAAAAGGUACUCCGGGGAUAACAGGCUGAUACCGCCCAAGAGUUCAUAUCGACGGCGGUGUUUGGCACCUCGAUGUCGGCUCAUCACAUCCUGGGGCUGAAGCCGGUCCCAAGGGUAUGGCUGUUCGCCAUUUAAAGUGGUACGCGGGCUGGGUUUAGAACGUCGUGAGACAGUUCGGUCCCUAUCUGCCGUGGACGUUUGAGAUUUGAGAGGGGCUGCUCCUAGUACGAGAGGACCGGAGUGGACGAACCUCUGGUGUUCCGGUUGUCACGCCAGUGGCAUUGCCGGGUAGCUAUGUUCGGAAAAGAUAACCGCUGAAAGCAUCUAAGCGGGAAACUUGCCUCAAGAUGAGAUCUCACUGGGAACUUGAUUCCCCUGAAGGGCCGUCGAAGACUACGACGUUGAUAGGCUGGGUAUGUAAGCGUUGUGAGGCGUUGAGCUAACCAGUACUAAUUGCCCGUGAGGCUUGACCG
RNAcentral lists this ribosomal RNA (1667 nucleotides) under metagenome. RNAcentral's name for it is "bacterial LSU rRNA". It matches the Rfam family "Bacterial large subunit ribosomal RNA", at positions 1277 to 2925 of the family's 2925-position model. The record is from RNAcentral.